ACGGAUGUGGGAGUGCCGAAGCUACCUCCGGUGAAAGCCCCUGGGCCCCGGUUUUCUCUUCCAUGAGCUGGUCUCUGUACCACGAAUCAAUAUGGGCAUCAAUUUUCUCUGUAUCUUCAGUUCGUCUCUCUCUCUCUCUCUCUCCUUUAGGAUUAUUAUCUCAAAUGGCAAUUAAGCUGAGAUCUUUCUUUCUAUUAUAUUAGGCUUGUCACGCAUGGUGCUUUUCUUUGGAUUCAUGCGCCUCUCCUCUCUGCUCAUUUUCGAUUGGUGACGCAUAUAAUACAUGCGGCAGGUCGCUUUCUUUAUUUCUCUAGGGUAAACAUGAACAUCUCAUCCUCUUUUUGUUGGCUUGUUGAUCUUGUAAUGCAUGAAUGUAUCUAAAUUGGUUGCAUUUGAUAUAAUAGAGCAGAGUGGGACUAUUAAUUGGCAGGCACAAGACUUGGUUCGUAAGCCAGGGAUAGCUCGUG
This 467-nucleotide long non-coding RNA is filed under the name Triticum aestivum (bread wheat). RNAcentral describes it as "long non-coding RNA (TAES_LNC011061)". Lineage: Eukaryota; Viridiplantae; Streptophyta; Magnoliopsida; Poales; Poaceae. The record is from RNAcentral.